RNAcentral lists this ribosomal RNA (467 nucleotides) under uncultured bacterium. RNAcentral describes it as "partial 16S ribosomal RNA". It matches the Rfam family "Bacterial small subunit ribosomal RNA", at positions 28 to 507 of the family's 1533-position model. The record is from RNAcentral.
GAUGAACGCUGACAGAAUGCUUAACACAUGCAAGUCAACUUGAAUUUGGGUUUUUAACUUAGGUUUGGGUGGCGGACGGGUGAGUAACGCGUAAAGAACUUGCCUCACAGCUAGGGACAACAUUUGGAAACGAAUGCUAAUACCUAAUAUUAUGAUAAUAGGGCAUCCUAUAAUUAUGAAAGCUAUAAGCGCUGUGAGAGCGCUUUGCGUCCCAUUAGCUAGUUGGAGAGGUAACGGCUCACCAAGGCGAUGAUGGGUAGCCGGCCUGAGAGGGUGAUCGGCCACAAGGGGACUGAGACACGGCCCUUACUCCUACGGGAGGCAGCAGUGGGGAAUAUUGGACAAUGGACCGAGAGUCUGAUCCAGCAAUUCUGUGUGCACGAUGAAGUUUUUCGGAAUGUAAAGUGCUUUCAGUUGGGAAGAAACAAAUGACGGUACCAACAGAAGAAGUGACGGCUAAAUACGUG